This 2904-nucleotide ribosomal RNA is filed under the name Escherichia coli O55:H7 str. CB9615. RNAcentral's name for it is "bacterial LSU rRNA". It matches the Rfam family "Bacterial large subunit ribosomal RNA". Lineage: Bacteria; Pseudomonadati; Pseudomonadota; Gammaproteobacteria; Enterobacterales; Enterobacteriaceae. The record is from RNAcentral.
GGUUAAGCGACUAAGCGUACACGGUGGAUGCCCUGGCAGUCAGAGGCGAUGAAGGACGUGCUAAUCUGCGAUAAGCGUCGGUAAGGUGAUAUGAACCGUUAUAACCGGCGAUUUCCGAAUGGGGAAACCCAGUGUGAUUCGUCACACUAUCAUUAACUGAAUCCAUAGGUUAAUGAGGCGAACCGGGGGAACUGAAACAUCUAAGUACCCCGAGGAAAAGAAAUCAACCGAGAUUCCCCCAGUAGCGGCGAGCGAACGGGGAGGAGCCCAGAGCCUGAAUCAGUGUGUGUGUUAGUGGAAGCGUCUGGAAAGGCGCGCGAUACAGGGUGACAGCCCCGUACACAAAAAUGCACAUACUGUGAGCUCGAUGAGUAGGGCGGGACACGUGGUAUCCUGUCUGAAUAUGGGGGGACCAUCCUCCAAGGCUAAAUACUCCUGACUGACCGAUAGUGAACCAGUACCGUGAGGGAAAGGCGAAAAGAACCCCGGCGAGGGGAGUGAAAAAGAACCUGAAACCGUGUACGUACAAGCAGUGGGAGCCUCUUUUAUGGGGUGACUGCGUACCUUUUGUAUAAUGGGUCAGCGACUUAUAUUCUGUAGCAAGGUUAACCGAAUAGGGGAGCCGAAGGGAAACCGAGUCUUAACUGGGCGUUAAGUUGCAGGGUAUAGACCCGAAACCCGGUGAUCUAGCCAUGGGCAGGUUGAAGGUUGGGUAACACUAACUGGAGGACCGAACCGACUAAUGUUGAAAAAUUAGCGGAUGACUUGUGGCUGGGGGUGAAAGGCCAAUCAAACCGGGAGAUAGCUGGUUCUCCCCGAAAGCUAUUUAGGUAGCGCCUCGUGAAUUCAUCUCCGGGGGUAGAGCACUGUUUCGGCAAGGGGGUCAUCCCGACUUACCAACCCGAUGCAAACUGCGAAUACCGGAGAAUGUUAUCACGGGAGACACACGGCGGGUGCUAACGUCCGUCGUGAAGAGGGAAACAACCCAGACCGCCAGCUAAGGUCCCAAAGUCAUGGUUAAGUGGGAAACGAUGUGGGAAGGCCCAGACAGCCAGGAUGUUGGCUUAGAAGCAGCCAUCAUUUAAAGAAAGCGUAAUAGCUCACUGGUCGAGUCGGCCUGCGCGGAAGAUGUAACGGGGCUAAACCAUGCACCGAAGCUGCGGCAGCGACACUGUGUGUUGUUGGGUAGGGGAGCGUUCUGUAAGCCUGUGAAGGUGUGCUGUGAGGCAUGCUGGAGGUAUCAGAAGUGCGAAUGCUGACAUAAGUAACGAUAAAGCGGGUGAAAAGCCCGCUCGCCGGAAGACCAAGGGUUCCUGUCCAACGUUAAUCGGGGCAGGGUGAGUCGACCCCUAAGGCGAGGCCGAAAGGCGUAGUCGAUGGGAAACAGGUUAAUAUUCCUGUACUUGGUGUUACUGCGAAGGGGGGACGGAGAAGGCUAUGUUGGCCGGGCGACGGUUGUCCCGGUUUAAGCGUGUAGGCUGGUUUUCCAGGCAAAUCCGGAAAAUCAAGGCUGAGGCGUGAUGACGAGGCACUACGGUGCUGAAGCAACAAAUGCCCUGCUUCCAGGAAAAGCCUCUAAGCAUCAGGUAACAUCAAAUCGUACCCCAAACCGACACAGGUGGUCAGGUAGAGAAUACCAAGGCGCUUGAGAGAACUCGGGUGAAGGAACUAGGCAAAAUGGUGCCGUAACUUCGGGAGAAGGCACGCUGAUAUGUAGCGUGAAGUCCCUCGCGGAUGGAGCUGAAAUCAGUCGAAGAUACCAGCUGGCUGCAACUGUUUAUUAAAAACACAGCACUGUGCAAACACGAAAGUGGACGUAUACGGUGUGACGCCUGCCCGGUGCCGGAAGGUUAAUUGAUGGGGUCAGCGCAAGCGAAGCUCUUGAUCGAAGCCCCGGUAAACGGCGGCCGUAACUAUAACGGUCCUAAGGUAGCGAAAUUCCUUGUCGGGUAAGUUCCGACCUGCACGAAUGGCGUAAUGAUGGCCAGGCUGUCUCCACCCGAGACUCAGUGAAAUUGAACUCGCUGUGAAGAUGCAGUGUACCCGCGGCAAGACGGAAAGACCCCGUGAACCUUUACUAUAGCUUGACACUGAACAUUGAGCCUUGAUGUGUAGGAUAGGUGGGAGGCUUUGAAGUGUGGACGCCAGUCUGCAUGGAGCCGACCUUGAAAUACCACCCUUUAAUGUUUGAUGUUCUAACGUGGACCCGUGAUCCGGGUUGCGGACAGUGUCUGGUGGGUAGUUUGACUGGGGCGGUCUCCUCCUAAAGAGUAACGGAGGAGCACGAAGGUUGGCUAAUCCUGGUCGGACAUCAGGAGGUUAGUGCAAUGGCAUAAGCCAGCUUGACUGCGAGCGUGACGGCGCGAGCAGGUGCGAAAGCAGGUCAUAGUGAUCCGGUGGUUCUGAAUGGAAGGGCCAUCGCUCAACGGAUAAAAGGUACUCCGGGGAUAACAGGCUGAUACCGCCCAAGAGUUCAUAUCGACGGCGGUGUUUGGCACCUCGAUGUCGGCUCAUCACAUCCUGGGGCUGAAGUAGGUCCCAAGGGUAUGGCUGUUCGCCAUUUAAAGUGGUACGCGAGCUGGGUUUAGAACGUCGUGAGACAGUUCGGUCCCUAUCUGCCGUGGGCGCUGGAGAACUGAGGGGGGCUGCUCCUAGUACGAGAGGACCGGAGUGGACGCAUCACUGGUGUUCGGGUUGUCAUGCCAAUGGCACUGCCCGGUAGCUAAAUGCGGAAGAGAUAAGUGCUGAAAGCAUCUAAGCACGAAACUUGCCCCGAGAUGAGUUCUCCCUGACCCUUUAAGGGUCCUGAAGGAACGUUGAAGACGACGACGUUGAUAGGCCGGGUGUGUAAGCGCAGCGAUGCGUUGAGCUAACCGGUACUAAUGAACCGUGAGGCUUAACCUU